UACGUAGGGGGCAAGCGUUGUCCGGAUUUAUUGGGCGUAAAGAGCUCGUAGGUGGUUCGGUAAGUCGGAUGUGAAAUCUCCAGGCUCAACCUGGAGGGGUCAUUCGAUACUGCCGUGACUAGAGGUCGGUAGGGGAGUGUGGAAUUCCUGGUGGAGCGGUGAAAUGCGCAGAUAUCAGGAGGAACACCGGUGGCGAAGGCGGUUCUCUGGGCCUUACCUGACGCUGAGGAGCGAAAGCAUGGGGAGCAAACAGG
This 254-nucleotide ribosomal RNA is filed under the name uncultured bacterium. RNAcentral's name for it is "partial 16S ribosomal RNA". It matches the Rfam family "Bacterial small subunit ribosomal RNA", at positions 524 to 776 of the family's 1533-position model. The record is from RNAcentral.